This 642-nucleotide ribosomal RNA is filed under the name Streptomyces sp. ENT-25. Its description in RNAcentral is "bacterial SSU rRNA". It matches the Rfam family "Bacterial small subunit ribosomal RNA", at positions 235 to 885 of the family's 1533-position model. The record is from RNAcentral. Lineage: Bacteria; Bacillati; Actinomycetota; Actinomycetes; Kitasatosporales; Streptomycetaceae.
GGCCUAUCAGCUUGUUGGUGAGGUAGUGGCUCACCAAGGCGACGACGGGUAGCCGGCCUGAGAGGGCGACCGGCCACACUGGGACUGAGACACGGCCCAGACUCCUACGGGAGGCAGCAGUGGGGAAUAUUGCACAAUGGGCGAAAGCCUGAUGCAGCGACGCUGCGUGAGGGAUGACGGCCUUCGGGUUGUAAACCUCUUUCAGCAGGGAAGAAGCGAAAGUGACGGUACCUGCAGAAGAAGCGCCGGCUAACUACGUGCCAGCAGCCGCGGUAAUACGUAGGGCGCAAGCGUUGUCCGGAAUUAUUGGGCGUAAAGAGCUCGUAGGCGGCUUGUCACGUCGGUUGUGAAAGCCCGGGGCUUAACCCCGGGUCUGCAGUCGAUACGGGCAGGCUAGAGUUCGGUAGGGGAGAUCGGAAUUCCUGGUGUAGCGGUGAAAUGCGCAGAUAUCAGGAGGAACACCGGUGGCGAAGGCGGAUCUCUGGGCCGAUACUGACGCUGAGGAGCGAAAGCGUGGGGAGCGAACAGGAUUAGAUACCCUUGGUAGUCCACGCCGUAAACGGUGGGCACUAGUGUGGGCAACAUUCCACGUUGUCCGUGCCGCAGGCUAACGCAUUUAAGUGCCCCCGCUGGGGAGUACGG